This 245-nucleotide unclassified non-coding RNA is filed under the name uncultured fungus. RNAcentral describes it as "partial contains 18S rRNA, ITS1, 5.8S rRNA, ITS2 and 28S rRNA". Lineage: Eukaryota; Fungi. The record is from RNAcentral.
AAGGAUCAUUACAGUGUUUAGGUGUGGUGCGCCCCACUCCCAAGAAGGGGUGGCCAGCGCACCCCCGAAACCCCCACCCUUGAAUACUAUACCUGUUGCUUCGGCGGGCCCGCCCCCGGGCCGCUGGGCGGGAUAUCCCCUAGCCAGUGCCCGCCGGAGAAAAAUUUGAACCCUAUGUGAAUAUUUGACUGUCUGAGUGGGCUUAUGAAUCGUUAAAACUUUCAACAAUGGAUCUCUUGGUUCCG